Long non-coding RNA from Cavia porcellus (domestic guinea pig), 5436 nucleotides. RefSeq lists it as uncharacterized. Lineage: Eukaryota; Metazoa; Chordata; Mammalia; Rodentia; Caviidae. The record is from RefSeq and is a predicted model, not a curated record. The transcript is spliced from 3 exons.
AGCUCCUCAGGGCAGGGGUAUCUUCAUUUUUUGUUUAUAUCCCUAGUGCCUGGCAAGUCUAGAGGCGCUUCAUAGAUCUUUGCAGAAUGAACAAAGUAGUAAGUGGCUUGCUGUGAGAAAGACCGGGAGCGUUCGAGCUUCCAAAGGUGUUUCGCUUUCUUCUCUGCCCAAGAUUCUCUCUCUCUGAAUUGUGCCUUUGAGCUAAUAAGUUCUUCUGCCCAGGGAUGGCGACUUGCAAGGCACAGAAACUCUCUCAGUUUGGCUAAAGUGACAGGGAACUGAACCAGCACACAGGAGGCUCCUGUGAUACUCUGGGCAGGAGAGAGAAGAACGGAACCAUCAGAAGGGGGAGCAGAAAACCAGAGCACCAAGGAGCCCUCCUCCAGCUCCUAAGAGCACCCCCAACCAAGACCGCUCUCCUGGGCUUUUUCAUCUCCUGGGGACCACCCCUUCCCUCCCAGAGCUCUUCCUCCAUCCGGGUUCCUGUGUGUGCUCGUCUGUGUUCUGGGAGUAUCUGUUGACCCUCUGUCUGCUUGGGGAAAUCCAGUCCUGCUUGUCCUGAAGCCUCCAUGGACAGACUCAGGCAACACUUCAUUGUGUAAUACAGAGUAAGGGUCCUGAUGGUCCAAGUGAAGAUGGAUGGCUUUAUAGACUGAGAAGUGCUUGAAGAAAACAGGAGACAACAACAAUGAUGAUGAUAAUGAUGGCAGCAAACAAACUUUGAUUGUUUCAGGUAUUUUCCUUGUAUGGUGGGGAUGAGGGGCCAGAACAGCAGGAAAAUAACUGGCUGGUUAACAUCAGUGUAUUUCAGGUUAUCAGUUUAAGAAUUAAGCCACAGGGGACUUCAUUAUCGUGCCAAUUGGCACCAGGCUGUUUGGGAAAUUUGGUUGUUAUCUCUUUAAUCCUGAUUUCUCUAGAGGUGAGAUAAAUAGUUUAGAUUCAGCUUGGUGAUACAGAACUUCAUGUGAGUGGCUCCAAUUUGAAUUUUAGCCUGGUCUGUUGGGGCCUAGUGUGGGAGCUUAGUUCAGAAACAUUGGCUUUUUAUAUUUUUUAUUCAACACUGACUUGGGCAUUUGAUAGUGCCGGUCCUUGCUUUGGGAAGCCCACCUUUGGGUUCCCCAGUGCAGAGCCCUUCUGCCCCUGGGACUUGGCUGGCCUCUUGGGUUUCCGUGGCUGAUCCCCCUCCCCCGGCCCCACCCUCUCUUGUGGGUGCUCCUCUGUUGUAUCCAACAACUCUGCUUCUCAAGUUUCCCUGCAUGAGCUCAUCUUCCCCUUGGCUUUAAUUACCAUCUAUAGGUGGUGACUGCCUCUCCAGUGUGGGCUUGUCUUGAGAGCGAGGCACAGAGCAGCUCAGAAGUAUCUCGCCUCUGACGCCUCAAAGGCCCCUCUGUGUCCACAUGUGCCAACUUGAACGCCUUCCGAGCAUCCCUGCUCGCCUUCCUUCCAUGGCCAUUGUCUCUGAGAUAGCCGCCCAUCAGAAAUCUGGACUCGAUUCUUGGCUCUUCUGUCACUUUCACAGCCAACAUUUAGUCCUGCUGCGCGAUUUGCCUGGUUAUUCCUUAGGUUUUCUCUCCUAGUUAGCUUUUCCAGCCUCCUCCACUGUCAUUUCCAAUUGUUCCAUCUGGCUCCCUGCCUCCAGGUGGUCUUUGCUUCCUCCCAUUAGCUAGGUUGGUCUUGGGUUCUGCUUCCUACACUGGGCCUCUCUAUCUGGCUGUCCUUCCCUCCAGGGGCUCCUCCAGGGGCUCCUCCAGGGGUUCCUCAAGCCUCUUUAAAGAUCAGUGCCAUCAUUAAAAUGGAGUCAUAGAUCUAGUUCAAUCCAGAUGUCACCCUUACUGGCUCUGUGACUGUGGGCCAAUCUCUCACUGUGUUAAGUCUCACUUUUCUCCUGUGUAACUGGUGGACACUGUGUCUUAAAAUGGCUGUGAAUCAGGAGUGUGUCUCUAGCUCCUUGUGAAUUCUAGAGAAAAGCCUUCACUGCUGCCAGGGAGACAGGAAUCUUUGUUUUGGAAAAUGACCCAUUGAGUGUAACAGAUAAAGCCCUCCAGCUUCCUGAGUGACCUUGAGGAAGAGAGGGACAAACAAAGUGGGGGUCGAAUUGCUCUAAAGACAAAAACCAGAGACAUCUGAGCAGGAGAGGGUGAGGGGCCGAGGAGAGUGUAGGGGAGGGUCUUGCCAUGGACAGUAGGCCAGCAGCCAGAGGUGCGGUGGACAGAGGAACUUGCGAGCACAGGACGUUUGGGUCUUCAGUUUUGACUGCUUGCUGAAAUAGUCCUACCUCCCCAAACCUCCUCUCCAGUCUUACACAAGUUUUAGUACAAUUCUUUUGCAUGUUCUAUAUAUGCUCAGGGGAGGGGAAUUAACGAUAAGAUAAACCCAGCCACCCUGUUUCCUGGACUUUCCUUGGCUCUCACGUGUGGUUUAGAUGUCGCCCUGUCUGUAGGUUGACGAGAUAAAAAGACAUAAACUCAAUAAGUGAGUUAGAAGAGGAUGGAGUAAGAAGAGGAAUCAGAAUGAGAAGGAAACAGCCAGGCCUGGCACUUCUCAGGAAUCUUAGAGAGUGUGGUGGGGGUGGGGCUCCAUUUUUUUCUAAAUACUAAAGAAAAGUCACCCUUGAAGCCUGAAGGGACAUCAAGAGAACAUUUGUGGUUGUGAGGAUUAAAUUAGAUGAUGUACUUAAUUAAAGCUUCUAGCCCCAGGCUCAUGCAUAGGAAACUCUUAGAAAAUUGGAAGUUACUGUUUUUUUUUUUUUUAAAACAUAACAUUUCAACCUGGCAAGGUAGCACACGUCUGUAAUCUCAGCACUCUAGGAGGUUGAGGUAGGAGGAUCAUAAAUUCAAGCCCAGCCAGGACAGUUUAGUGUCUUAGCAAGACAUUGUGUCAAAAAUAAAGUUUAAAAAAAUAUAAGGAGGAGGAAGAGGAGGAGGAGGGCUGGGGAUAUAGGUGAUUGCAAAAGAGCUGAGUUUAAUUCCCAGUACUGUAAAACCAAACCAAAUCAGACCAAACCAGACCAGACCAGACCAGACCAGGCCAAACCAAACCAAACCCCAUACCCCAACACGAUAACAUUCCAUUUCAUAUAUAGCAAGAUACAAAAAUCUCACCAGAAGGGAGGGCAUACCCAUCUAUAUCUUCUUGCUUCUUUCUGUGGUGCCUAGCACUCUUGAUGGGAUGGAUGGCUGCUGGUGACUGUCUAGGCAAGGAUAAUCUGACAGUUAUAAUUGGGAUUUGGAGUCCCCCAACAACCCCCGUGUGGAAGGCUUGGUCCCUAACCUGUGAUGCUGUUGGCAAGUUUUGGGAUGGCAGUUAGAUGACAGGGCCAUGCCCUCUAAGGGGAUAUUGGGAUCCUGAUACUGGGACCUCUUGCUCUCUUGUUGGUUCCUGGCUGCCAUGAGAUGAGGAGUUUCCUCUGCUGCAGGUAAGUGCCAUGAUGUUGUUUCUGUUGCAUUCUCCUGCCCAAAAGAACAAGGUCAGUAGAACAUGCACUGAACCCUCUGAAACUGUAAGCCAGAAUAUGUUUUCCCCUUUUAACUUUUUAUCUCAGGUAUUUUGCUACAGUAACACAAAACUGGCUAAUACGCUGACCACACCUGGACAGGUCCACUUAAAAUUAUCACUGUCUGUUUCUGUGCAUGUAAUUUGCAGCAACACUGAUCUCCUCUGUGGUUCCAGAGUACCUUUUGCUGCUUCCACUCCCACAUCACUGAGAGCCAAUUUUGGAUUGCUGUUUUUCUGUUUAAUUGUAAGAAAUCUGGCUGAUUUUCACAUGUGUCUCACAGAAAUAGAUUUGUUAUUUUUUGGUUCCAUUAUGCAUUCUGUUCUCCUUCCUCCAAUUUUACUGUAAGCUCUGUGAGUCAGAAAUCAAAUGGACAGUUCUUCUUUAGUUCCACAGGUCUUAUGCACAGAGGUGGAUUCACAGAUAUCUGUUGUGCUGUGAGUGUUAAUUCUGUUGGUCUCAGAAAAUUAUACUCCAAAGUGUGGUGCUUUGACAGCUUGAGUACUUUGAACUAAAAAAGCAGUGCAGCACCCAAGACUCUGGGCUUUUGUUCAUUCCUGUCUCCUGCCCCUCUGUCUCCCCAAAGCAAAGGGAGGGGUUAGCCACAAAUCAUCCCUCUUGAGAGCUCAAAAAGAGGUGUGGUCUCUUGUUGAGGAAAUUACUGUACUGAAGUAUAGAUUAUCAGGUUUACCUUCAACUCUAACCCCUGAAAGAAUCUCUUCUUGUAUCUCCGAUAGGUUUUAUUCAGUCUUCACUUGAAUGCCUCCAGUGAUGGAGAGUUCACUACCAUUGGUUAGGAACUUUGGUUACCUAAUCAUAUCUACUCUCCUAGCAUUCUCUUUUUCUCCUUCUUCAUUAGGAUUUUGAUUUUAAUCAAGUAUUCACCCUUUUCCAUGCACCAAGGAGAAGAAUAUAACCAGUUGAAGGGUUUGUGUCAGGCCCAUUUCCCUUCCCAAUGAAUGCUUUCUGCAAGGGCAUGGCAGGUGACAGACUCUAGCUAAUAAGCUGAAGGAGAAGCAUUCAGGGAGAUUCUAGAAAAGAUUUUAAAAGAGACAGAAGAGUCAAUCUAUUCUAUUAGAAAAUUGAGCUUAGAUAUGGUGCCUAGAAAUGUGGCAGCCAUCUUGUGAUCAUGAGGGUAGCUAACGCAAAAAGAAAGUGGACGGGCUGAGACUAACAGCAGAAAUGUGUUAAAACACAAACACAGUAGAGAUGCUGGGACUUGGGGGACCAACCAAGAAAUCAACUAGCCAGCCUUCCUGGUAAGCUGCGUAAACAGGAGGCAUUCUACGAGAGAAAAGACAGCAUUUCGGUAAGCCAAACACCUUCCAUAAGCUCCACCUCCACCCCAGCAACCUGAUGGUUUGGAGGACAGGCUGAGUUGAUAGCAACUAAGGUGCAUAAAGCAACUAAAUGCUUCUCUUGUCUGGCUGAUUUUGCAGGCCUGGACCAGCGGUCUGAGCAUCUCUUGGGAGGAUGACAGUAUGCAGUAUAGCAAAUAUGGGGGAUUUCCUUCUGUCUUGUCUUUGAAAUCCAAUAUUGUUCUCACUGUUUUGCUUUGUACUGAUUCUUUUGCCUUUUUCAAUAUUUGGUUUUGAUUGGUUUUAUUCUAUUUUGUGUUUGAUUCUGCUGCACCUGAUGGAAUGGACAACUAUUGUGAAGAUAACAAGAUAUACUACGGUAUCCUGCUGGUGAAUACACCAAUUUUGCCGUAUUGUUCUGAUUGCUUUGUUCUGUCUUGUUUUGUUGGAUUUUACUAUCUUUAAAAUAAAAAAAAAAUUUAUAAAACAAGACAAAAUAGAUAAAUAUGCACACAAACAGACACAUUGGGAACAUUAAUGUAAUUCACUGAAUGGUUAAGUUAACCAGGCCCGGGGCUUGCAAACCAAACGAAGACUCCCUAAGCCUAAAUUUGUGUGACUGAAUUUUGAAAUUAAAUAAGAGAU